AAAUGAAUAGACGGGGACCCGCACAAGCAGUGGAGUAUGUGGUUUAAUUCGAAGCAACGCGAAGAACCUUACCAGGGCUUGACAUCCAUAGAACCCUCUGGAGACAGAGGGGUGCCUUCGGGAGCUAUGAGACAGGUGGUGCAUGGUUGUCGUCAGCUCGUGUCGUGAGAUGUUGGGUUAAGUCCCGCAACGAGCGCAACCCUUAUCGUUAGUUGCCAGCAUUAAGUUGGGCACUCUAGCGAGACUGCCGGUGACAAAUCGGAGGAAGGUGGGGACGACGUCAAAUCAUCAUGCCCCUUAUGUCCUGGGCUACACACGUACUACAAUGGCUGAAAACAGAGGGAAGCGAAGCCGUGAGGUGGAGCAAAUCCCCAAAAGCAGUCUCAGUUCGGAUUGCAGGCUGAAACCCGCCUGCAUGAAGUCGGAAUUGCUAGUAAUCGCGAAUCAGCAUGUCGCGGUGAAUACGUUCCCGGGUCUUGUACACACCGCCCGU
RNAcentral lists this ribosomal RNA (493 nucleotides) under uncultured bacterium. RNAcentral's name for it is "bacterial SSU rRNA". It matches the Rfam family "Bacterial small subunit ribosomal RNA", at positions 903 to 1397 of the family's 1533-position model. The record is from RNAcentral.